This is a small nucleolar RNA of Andrographis paniculata, 107 nucleotides long. The record is from RefSeq and is a predicted model, not a curated record. Lineage: Eukaryota; Viridiplantae; Streptophyta; Magnoliopsida; Lamiales; Acanthaceae.
AUUUGAUGUUGUGGACAUUUAAUGAUAAACUUAUUAAAUCGCUCUCAAUAUUCAUGGAGCGUUUCACCUGAUUGUUGCUUGAUGCCACAUAUUUUCUUCCUCAGAAU